This 468-nucleotide ribosomal RNA is filed under the name uncultured bacterium. RNAcentral's name for it is "partial 16S ribosomal RNA". It matches the Rfam family "Bacterial small subunit ribosomal RNA", at positions 28 to 507 of the family's 1533-position model. The record is from RNAcentral.
GACGAACGCUGGCGGCGUGCUUAACACAUGCAAGUCGAACGGAAAGGCCCUGCUUUUGUGGGGUGCUCGAGUGGCGAACGGGUGAGUAACACGUGAGUAACCUGCCCUUGACUUUGGGAUAACUUCAGGAAACUGGGGCUAAUACCGGCUAGGAGCUCCUGCUGCAUGGUGGGGGUUGGAAAGUUUCGGCGGUUGGGGAUGGACUCGCGGCUUAUCAGCUUGUUGGUGGGGUAGUGGCUUACCAAGGCUUUGACGGGUAGCCGGCCUGAGAGGGUGACCGGCCACAUUGGGACUGAGAUACGGCCCAGACUGCUACGGGAGGCAGCAGUGGGGAAUAUUGCACAAUGGGCGGAAGCCUGAUGCAGCAACGCCGCGUGCGGGAUGACGGCCUUCGGGUUGUAAACCGCUUUCGCCUGUGACGAAGCGUGAGUGACGGUAAUGGGUAAAGAAGCACCGGCUAACUACGUG